RNAcentral lists this unclassified non-coding RNA (851 nucleotides) under Bombus terrestris (buff-tailed bumblebee). RNAcentral describes it as "misc RNA ENSBTSG00005020784.1". The record is from RNAcentral. Lineage: Eukaryota; Metazoa; Arthropoda; Insecta; Hymenoptera; Apidae.
ACGGCUUAUCGGAAUGCCGCCGACCGAGAAUAGUAACACACCUAGCGACUGUCUGCCUGCAGUGGUUCUCUGCUUUUCAUACCGUUUUCAAACUUGCUAACUGAAAUUCGUAGUGAAAAAGAACGCCUCUCGCGCGAUGGCCAUAGUUUCACGGGGAAGUUUCAGCUGUGGUCACGCUACCUGGCGAUUAUGAUCGAUAAGUCAUGGAUAAUGCGUUGACAAGCUUGACCCAUUGAUUUCGUCGACAAAAUAUCAAGCGUAGAAUAUAAUUGAAAUGGAAUAUGAUAGUCAAGUCACAUCGCCAUUAAAUAAUAGUAACGAAACAGUCGUUCAACUGGGCCUCAUAAUGAGAGACGAGUACUUGUUAACGAAAUCAAUUAUGUUUGAAACGUUACACACUAUGCUCGUCGUAUUCAGUGUGCGUUUUGGGAUGAAUAUUCCAUGGCACGAUAGAAAGAAAAUUAUUUUCUCGAUAUAUCGUUACUUAAAUAGCAUCAUCUAAGAUGCAGAGCAUGUUAAAGUAGCAGAGCAAGAUGCAAAUAAAGCCAAAAUUUUAUUUGAAUAAUUAUUUGGAUAAAAAUUUAUUUGUUAUCAAGUAUAUGUUAAUGUAAUGUAUUUUAUCUAAUUGUAAGUCACUUAAGCGAACAUGCGUAUCACUGUGCUCUACCGUCUUUCCUAGGAAUUGGUAACGUACGAUACUCUGCAUUCGAAAUAUGUACCGCGAACGUUGAACCCGCUUGUAAACAUGUCGCUGUAUCUUAAACCCUAUCUUUACAAAUAAAUUCCCGCGAUCUUACUGGAUUUCUCUAACUGCUUAUCUACUGUAUUUAUAACAAUACGUAAUUCACAAU